UGGGGAAUCUUCCGCAAUGGACGAAAGUCUGACGGAGCAACGCCGCGUGAGUGAUGACGGCCUUCGGGUUGUAAAGCUCUGUUAAUCGGGACGAAAGGCCUUCUUGCGAAUAGUUAGAAGGAUUGACGGUACCGGAAUAGAAAGCCACGGCUAACUACGUGCCAGCAGCCGCGGUAAUACGUAGGUGGCAAGCGUUGUCCGGAAUUAUUGGGCGUAAAGCGCGCGCAGGCGGAUUGGUCAGUCUGUCUUAAAAGUUCGGGGCUUAACCCCGUGAUGGGAUGGAAACUGCCAAUCUAGAGUAUCGGAGAGGAAAGUGGAAUUCCUAGUGUAGCGGUGAAAUGCGUAGAUAUUAGGAAGAACACCAGUGGCGAAGGCGACUUUCUGGACGAAAACUGACGCUGAGGCGCGAAAGCCAGGGGAGCAAACGGGAUUAGAUACCCCGGUAGUCCUGGCCGUAAACGAUGGGUACUAGGUGUAGGAGGUAUCGACCCCUUCUGUGCCGGAGUUAACGCAAUAAGUACCCCGCCUGGGGAGUACGACCGCAAGGUUG
This 550-nucleotide ribosomal RNA is filed under the name uncultured bacterium. RNAcentral describes it as "bacterial SSU rRNA". It matches the Rfam family "Bacterial small subunit ribosomal RNA", at positions 355 to 896 of the family's 1533-position model. The record is from RNAcentral.